GGAGAGGUGUCCGAGUGGUCUAAGGGGCGUGCCUGGAAAGCACGUGCAGUCGCAAGGCUGCCGUGGGUUCAAAUCCCACCCUCUCCGCCA
Molecule: transfer RNA, 90 nt
Filed under: Candidatus Acetothermia bacterium
Lineage: Bacteria; Candidatus Bipolaricaulota
Description: tRNA-Ser
Rfam family: tRNA
About the family: Transfer RNA (tRNA) molecules are approximately 80 nucleotides in length.
Source: RNAcentral